GACGAACGCUGGCGGCGUGCUUAACACAUGCAAGUCGAGCGGUAAGGCCCUUUCGGGGGUACGACGAGCGGCGAACGGGUGAGUAACACGUGGGUGGCCUGCCCUCAGCUCUGGGAUAAGCCUGGGAAACCGGGUCUAAUACUGGAUAUGACUCCAUGACGCAUGUUGGUGGGGUGGAAAGCCUUGUGCGGCUGAGGAUGGGCCCGCGGCCUAUCAGCUUGUUGGGUGGGGUGANGGCCUACCAAGGCGACGACGGGUAGCCGGCCUGAGGGGGCGACCGGCCACACUGGGACUGAGACACGGCCCAGACUCCUACGGGAGGCAGCAGUGGGGAAUCUUGCGCAAUGGGCGAAAGCCUGACGCAGCGACGCCGCGUGAGGGAUGACGGCU
RNAcentral lists this ribosomal RNA (390 nucleotides) under uncultured bacterium. RNAcentral's name for it is "bacterial SSU rRNA". It matches the Rfam family "Bacterial small subunit ribosomal RNA", at positions 28 to 416 of the family's 1533-position model. The record is from RNAcentral.